UACGUAGGGGGCAAGCGUUGUCCGGAAUCAUUGGGCGUAAAGCGCGUGUAGGCGGCUAGGUAAGUCCGUUCUGAAAGCCCGGGGCUCAACCCCGGGAGGCGGAUGGAUACUGCUUGGCUCGAGUCCGGAAGAGGCGAGUGGAAUUCCCGGUGUAGCGGUGAAAUGCGCAGAUAUCGGGAGGAACACCAAUGGCGAAGGCAGCACGCUGGGACGGUACUGACGCUGAGACGCGAAAGCGUGGGGAGCAAACAGG
RNAcentral lists this ribosomal RNA (253 nucleotides) under uncultured bacterium. RNAcentral describes it as "partial 16S ribosomal RNA". It matches the Rfam family "Bacterial small subunit ribosomal RNA", at positions 524 to 776 of the family's 1533-position model. The record is from RNAcentral.